This is a long non-coding RNA of Jaculus jaculus (lesser Egyptian jerboa), 1869 nucleotides long. RefSeq lists it as uncharacterized. NCBI's taxonomy places the organism in Eukaryota, Metazoa, Chordata, Mammalia, Rodentia, Dipodidae. The transcript is spliced from 5 exons. The record is from RefSeq and is a predicted model, not a curated record.
AAGCCCAUGGAAGAUGAUGGAGAUCCAGACACUGUACAUUAUCCAUCUGCUGUUCUGAGGAAGUCCAGAGACAAGAAACAAGAGUAGAAAAACCCAGAAGGAGACCCCAUCUGAGGCUGCCUGCUCAGGCCUGGGUCAGAACAACCCUAGCUCUCCUGGAGGAGGAAGCCCAAAAUUCUCAGCCCAGAAGACUUCCGAACACACUCCUUUUAUUCCACGUGGAAAGGGGAGCAGAGAAGGCAAGCCUCUCUCACCCACCACCCUACUGGUGCCUGUAGACCUGUGUCCUUCCAUAUUGAACCUACAGAUCUGUGUCCAGUGCCAGUUGGUCAACACAGAGUUAAGGAAGCUCCCAUGAGCUCCUGGGGUAGAUGGAGGCUUUAAGCAUCAUCCUCAGGCCUUCUUGACUCUGAAAGGUGUUUGCCAGCCCACUUUGCCCCUGGUGGGUGGUCAGCAAGGCAGGCUGAGAAGGCUGUUGGUCAUCUUCUCAUACACGAGCCCCUCUGAGCGGUUUUGGGUUCCCUGCAGCUCCCUCCCCAGGGAACCCCUCCCAGAGAGAGACUCAAGGACUCCAAAAGACUUUGGUCUUUCUGAACACCAGGACAGGGAAAGACACUCACCCAGACUCUAAUGCCCUGUGAUGGUACCCCAGGAAAGUAGGGACUUCCCCCCAUCUGUCCAGUCCUUGCCUUGGGAAAACCAGCUUCAAGUUAUCAGGUAGCCUCAGGGGAGGCCUGUUUGACUGGGAGAUGAUGGUUCCAACCAACAGCCAGCCAGCACCUGAUGCACCAACAACCACAUGGAAGUUGGGAUGUCCCCUGCUGAGCCUUCGCAGAUGGCAGCAGCCAUGGCUGACACCUUAGCCACAGUGUGCUAAGAAACCUGAUCAGAUUCCUGAUCACAGAGGCUAUGAGACAAUGACAGUGCGUGUGGGUUGCGUUCGGUCUGUUAUGCAGCAAUGGUUGACCAUGAGUGUAAGGUUGAGGGCAUGUCCACCUGGUAUAACAGGACACACUCCAGGUCAUUGGCAAGGCAGUGAGGACAUGGCCUCUCCCUGGCCCUGCCCAUGCCCCUGCCCUUACUGCUCAGAGUUCUAGAAACCCCUCUACCUUGUUUGGCCUGUCUCCUCAUGGGGAUGGAAGGUUGGACCAUAUGUGCCUGGAAACCAUGCUCAGCCCUUGCUCCCCAUGGAGCCUCCUGAGAUCCCAGGUCCCAGGGGAGUCAGUGGUGUGGAUAUGGGGUGCUUGCCAGCAGUUCUUACCUCAUGAUGAUGAGGGGAUUUGCCUCAUCUGUGGUAGCUGACAGGGCUAGAGAGCAGUCUCCUGGGGGCUCUUGGGACCUCCUGGGGUUUCCUGGAUGCACCAGGGCCAUUUGGCUACCUGCCAUCAUCUCUUGAGGGUAAAAGCAGUGUACUAGGAUCUUGUGGCGAUGGUGGUGGCAAAGAGGACAUGGUGUUGGCCUCUCCCAUGGCUCUGUGCAUCUGCGCUGGGGGAGGGGCCUCCUGUUUUCUCUUCUUCUAGGCCCAGUGAAGUCUGAUAUGCAAAAUGAACUCACCAUGUGGAAAUGAGCCAACGCCUGGCUCUGACCUGGGACCAUUAAGAGAAGCAAUUUCUCAGGGACAAUUUGACAUGUAAUGAGGGGGAUUUGCUAGGUGGGAACCACUGCACAGCCUGGCAGACCCAGUAGCAGGGCCUGUGAGUGAGGACAGCCAAUCAUUUUGACUGUUUCUGAUGCUGUACCAGAGGAUUCACAGGGAAAGGCUGGCAGGCCCUUGUCAUGGCCUCUUACAGACAUGGCUUCAAUCCUUCCCUGUGUUAACUGCAUUCCUUGGAUGGAGUCUCCUGUUUGUGUGUUGCAGUGAAAUUUAAG